GUUCAGAGCUCUUGAUCCUCCUGCUUCAGCAUCUUGAGUUUUAUGAUUACAGACUUGAUGCUAGGCACUAUGGAUAUGAAGAAGGAACAACCAAAGUUCCUGCUCUCAGAUAGUUUUACUGAGCCUAUGUUGGAUAACAAAUGACUACAUUUACAAAAACAAGAAGGCAGAUUGGGAAUGCAUAGUAAAGUGCAUGUUUAAGGAA
This is a long non-coding RNA of Mastomys coucha (southern multimammate mouse), 205 nucleotides long. RefSeq lists it as uncharacterized. The record is from RefSeq and is a predicted model, not a curated record. The transcript has 2 exons. NCBI's taxonomy places the organism in Eukaryota, Metazoa, Chordata, Mammalia, Rodentia, Muridae.